CAAUUCUUGAAUGGAGACCCAAAAAUUACAGCAACUUUUCUUGCUCUCAUACUUUCUCAUCCUUUUUCUCCUUAUUUCCCAUCUAUCAUUUUUCUCCUNGUUUUCUCUGUAACUGGUUUUAUUUCUAUCCUACAUCUCAAGUUAGGUCACNUAACCAAAUCCAAAUAUUUAUUUAGUCUUCUAUCAGUCUUGNCUUUCUUGUCCUCUAAUCUUACACAUAUAAACUUCACACAUUCUUGCCAUCAAAUCACAGCCUUUGUUGCACACACGGAACAAAUUAUGUCACUGGCCACAACUUAUCCGAAAAUGGCUUAACAUUAGACUUCAAAAGCAAAGCAUCAAACACCCCCAAAGCAUGAUUCAAAAAAUAAGCAACCCCUGUAAUGGGAUUUACAUAACUUCCAAAUUCAAAAGCUUAAUUUCCAGCAGAAACCAAACAUAAGGGUUUUGAACAGCUUGAACACCUAUCUUGUUACUACUUUACCAGAUUUAUCACAUUCAAAUUUAAUCCACACCCCACUUGAAAAUCACAACCAUUUCUUUCAAAAAUACCAUAUUUGGUACAGCAAGAAACCCCAACUUCCUCAAUUUCAUACUUUCCAUUGUACAACAUGGCAAUAAAUUCAAUCACAGUGAAGCCUACAACUCAUUCAGGACAUAACUGGGGUUAUACAUGUAUAAAAAACAAAUAUAUUUUUCAAGUUUCAAGCUUUUGAUUUCUUAUUAUUAAUUAAUAUUUGGUCCACUGUCUAAACGACCCUUGAUUGUAGGCACAGAAGGGANAUUUCAAAAACAGAGAAAAAGAAGAUAAGAGAAGAAAUGAAAAAGAUGNAGGAACUGAAAAUCAGGAAAUGGAAGGAAGAAAGAAGAAGGUAAAACAAGAAGGGAAAAAAGGAAUACCAUCUAACUUGUCAAAUACUUGUCCCAUGCUGUGAUACCAAAAACAAGUCUCUCAGAUAUGAAGCUUUAUCUGCGUGGUUGUGGUGAUAGAUUUAAGGCACAAU
This 1004-nucleotide long non-coding RNA is filed under the name Vigna radiata. RNAcentral describes it as "long non-coding RNA (VRAD_LNC014927)". The record is from RNAcentral. Lineage: Eukaryota; Viridiplantae; Streptophyta; Magnoliopsida; Fabales; Fabaceae.